This is a long non-coding RNA of Solanum stenotomum, 441 nucleotides long. RefSeq lists it as uncharacterized. The transcript has 2 exons. The record is from RefSeq and is a predicted model, not a curated record. NCBI's taxonomy places the organism in Eukaryota, Viridiplantae, Streptophyta, Magnoliopsida, Solanales, Solanaceae.
UCACUGCGCGCGUCGUCUCUUUGAUUUAGCUCAGCAGGCGUCGUCUCUUCGAUUUGGCUCAGCAGGCGUCUUCUCUUCGAUUUGGCUUAGCAGGCGUGUCUCUUCGAGUUCAUUAGAGGUUAUUGCCAUCGUCUUAGAAAGGUUGGAUUUCAAAGAGGCUUGGACGGAUGGCGUCAAACACAACCUACUUCUGAGGGUGGUUCCACAACCCAACUAACAUCUGAUGAUAUUACUUCAAUAUGGACAAAUGUGGCAGGAGGUGUGAAGAAAGGCAGAGCUUAGACAUGUAGACUUGUUUUAAACUAUUUACUUCCAUUUUGAAUAACAAUUGAAUACUUAUUAGAUUUGAUUUUGAUGAUGCUUGAACUUUUAGACUCCAUUGUGAAUCUGUGAAUCAAGUCGAAUUUGAAUGUUUAGGAAUGUAUUCGAUGUUUGGUUUUA